UGCGCAGGCGGUUCUAUAAGACAGAUGUGAAAUCCCCGGGCUCAACCUGGGAACUGCAUUUGUGACUGUAGAGCUGGAGUACGGCAGAGGGGGAUGGAAUUCCGCGUGUAGCAGUGAAAUGCGUAGAUAUGCGGAGGAACACCGAUGGCGAAGGCAAUCCCCUGGGCCUGUACUGACGCUCAUGCACGAAAGCGUGGGGAGCAAACAGGAUUAGAUACCCUGGUAGUCCACGCCCUAAACGAUGUCAACUGGUUGUUGGGAAGGUUCCUUCUCAGUAACGUAGCUAACGCGUGAAGUUGACCGCCUGGGGAGUACGGCCGCAAGGUUGAA
Molecule: ribosomal RNA, 330 nt
Filed under: uncultured bacterium
Lineage: Bacteria
Also listed under: 1 other name
Description: bacterial SSU rRNA
Rfam family: Bacterial small subunit ribosomal RNA
Source: RNAcentral